UUGAUUACGUCCCUGCCCUUUGUACACACCGCCCGUCGCUGCCCGGGACUGAGCCAUUUCGAGAAACUUGGGGACCGCUGACUGGCGGCCCUCGGGCCACCUUUUGGUGGAAACCAAUUUAAUCGCAGUGGCUUGAACCGGGCAAAAGUCGUAACAAGGUAGCUGUAGGUGAACCUGCUGCUGGAUCAUUACAUUCGAACCGUGAUGGUCACACUUAUGCUGAAUAUAGCCAGAUCUCCGUGCUCAACAGCGAACAGUUGGGCACACACUGGGAGAGAGGCACGCCUCUGGCAGACCGAAGAUGUCAGCCAGAAUGGUGAACGGCUAACGCUGGUGUCUGAGUGUCGCUGAGUAGACUGUCUUCGUCCGUGGUUACGAUGAGGCGACAUGUUAGUGCCGUGGUGAGCCUAGUAAAAGGCCCAUGGUUUAAGACUUAAUGAGCUCACGGAUACGGGCCGCCAGCAUUUUUUAUUUUUUCAAUAUUUUUUUCAACACUCAAUGAGUGUGAACCAAGAAAAUUUUAAUCUUAUCGGUGGAUCACUCGGCUCGUGGGUCGAUGAAGAGCGCAGCUAACUGCGAUAACUAGUGUGAACCGCAGAAACAUUGAACACUAAAGUCUCGAAUGCACAUUGCGCCAUCGGAGUCUCAUCCUUUGGAGCGCCUGGUUCAGGGUCGCAAACCAACCAAAAGCAAAGUUUGCUUGGCAAGCAAGGAAUAUUUCACGUAGACAAUUGGGGCAUGUCUAUUUGAAAAUGUGAGAGAGGAGGCCGUUGCCUUGUGUGUGCGGAUUGCUUUGUUCAGACCAAUAACACAUUGCAUUCCUGAGAUGGGCACACACAGCGACUGGUCUGUGCCUCUGCCCGUGUGGCACUUUGAAAUUUCGACCUGAACUCAGACGUGGCUACCCGCUGAACUUAAGCAUAUCAGUAAGCGGAGGAGAAGAAACUAACAAGGAUUCCCUUAGUAACGGCGAGUGAAA
This 979-nucleotide ribosomal RNA is filed under the name Pratylenchus parazeae. RNAcentral describes it as "eukaryotic LSU rRNA". The stretch from base 1 to 191 matches the Rfam family "Eukaryotic small subunit ribosomal RNA", at positions 1641 to 1831 of the family's 1831-position model. The record is from RNAcentral. Lineage: Eukaryota; Metazoa; Nematoda; Chromadorea; Rhabditida; Pratylenchidae.